Molecule: ribosomal RNA, 253 nt
Filed under: uncultured bacterium
Lineage: Bacteria
Description: partial 16S ribosomal RNA
Rfam family: Bacterial small subunit ribosomal RNA
Source: RNAcentral
CACGUAGGGCGCAAGCGUUGUCCGGAAUUAUUGGGUGUAAAGAGCUCGUAGGCGGCUUGUCGCGUCGACUGUGAAAUCCCGCGGCUCAACUGCGGGUCUGCAGUCGAUACGGGCAGGCUAGAGUUCGGUAGGGGAGACUGGAAUUCCUGGUGUAGCGGUGAAAUGCGCAGAUAUCAGGAGGAACACCGGUGGCGAAGGCGGGUCUCUGGGCCGAUACUGACGCUGAGGAGCGAAAGCGUGGGGAGCGAACAGG